UACGGAGGGAGCUAGCGUAGUUCGGAAUUACUGGGCGUAAAGCGCACGUAGGCGGAUCAGAAAGUUGGGGGUGAGAUCCCGGGGCUCAACCCCGGAACGGCCUCCAAAACUCCUGGUCUUGAGUUCGAGAGAGGUGAGUGGAAUUCCGAGUGUAGAGGUGAAAUUCGUAGAUAUUCGGAGGAACACCAGUGGUGAAGGCGGCUCACUGGCUCGAUACUGACGCUGAGGUGCGAAAGUGUGGGGAGCAAACAGG
RNAcentral lists this unclassified non-coding RNA (253 nucleotides) under uncultured Rhodobacterales bacterium. RNAcentral describes it as "contains 16S-23S intergenic spacer region". It matches the Rfam family "Bacterial small subunit ribosomal RNA", at positions 524 to 776 of the family's 1533-position model. Lineage: Bacteria; Pseudomonadati; Pseudomonadota; Alphaproteobacteria; Rhodobacterales. The record is from RNAcentral.